This 465-nucleotide long non-coding RNA is filed under the name Capsicum annuum. RNAcentral describes it as "long non-coding RNA (CANN_LNC001746)". The record is from RNAcentral. Lineage: Eukaryota; Viridiplantae; Streptophyta; Magnoliopsida; Solanales; Solanaceae.
UAGGAGGCUAAAAAGAAAAGUCUAUACAAUAAUUCUAACAAUUCUAACAAUUUUACGUAAAGGUUAAAAAGAAAAGUUUAUACAAUGAUUCUAACAAUUUUACGUAAAUAAUUUAAUAUCUUGUCGUCUUCCAUUGGUACCUUCUCGUUGUCGUAUCUGUUGCUUUUCCAUUGCUUCUUAUCUUAUCUUUCCAGCUGGCAUGCUCAUUUUCUUGAUUUUUAUUCUAGGUGCACUUCUGGAAUAAUAUUAUCUUCUCCAUUACAUCUUGACCAUUGAUGGUCUGGAUAUUUGUGUCCAAUUAUUUUUCAAUAUCUUGUCAGUAAUCCGUCUGAAAUAAAUUCUUUUUUAAUUGCUCUUGCAGUAGAUUGUUUUUCUGGGUUAAGUAAUGUUAUUAUCCAUUGCCUAACAUCUUCCAUAUCUGCUUGUCGUAGCUCUUUUGAAUUUGAAUAAAUCAUUUGAUGGUCU